UACGAGGGGAGCAAGCGUUGUUCGGAUUUACUGGGCGUAAAGGGCGCGUAGGCGGUCGUGACAAGUCACUUGUGAAAUCUCCGGGCUUAACUCGGAACGGUCAAGUGAUACUGUCGGACUAGAGUACAGAAGGGGCAACUGGAAUUCUCGGUGUAGCGGUGAAAUGCGUAGAUAUCGAGAGGAACCCCUGCGGCGAAGGCGGGUUGCUGGGCUGAUACUGACGCUGAGGCGCGAAAGCCAGGGGAGCGAACGGG
Molecule: ribosomal RNA, 254 nt
Filed under: uncultured bacterium
Lineage: Bacteria
Description: partial 16S ribosomal RNA
Rfam family: Bacterial small subunit ribosomal RNA
Source: RNAcentral